AGAAGUUAGUUUAAAAAAAACUAGUGAUUUCGGCUCACUUAAUUCUAACAAAGUUUAGAACUUCUCU
Molecule: transfer RNA, 67 nt
Filed under: Ophiura albida
Lineage: Eukaryota; Metazoa; Echinodermata; Ophiuroidea; Amphilepidida; Ophiuridae
Description: transfer RNA-Arg
Source: RNAcentral